UACGGAAGGGGCGAGCGUUGUUCGGAAUCAUUGGGCGUAAAGGGCGCGUAGGUGGUCUUGUAUGUCUACCGUGAAAGCAUACGGCUCAACCGUGUUCCGCCGGUAGAAACUGCAGGACUUGAGGCUGGGAGGGGCUGGUGGAAUUCCCCGUGUAGCGGUGAAAUGCGUAGAGAUGGGGGAGAACACUCGUGGCGAAGGCGGCCAGCUAGACCAGUUCUGACACUGAGGCGCGACAGCGUGGGGAGCAAACAGG
RNAcentral lists this ribosomal RNA (253 nucleotides) under uncultured bacterium. RNAcentral describes it as "partial 16S ribosomal RNA". It matches the Rfam family "Bacterial small subunit ribosomal RNA", at positions 524 to 776 of the family's 1533-position model. The record is from RNAcentral.